GAGUUUGAUCCUGGCUCAGGAUAAACGCUGGCGGCGCACAUAAGACAUGCAAGUCGAACGAACUUAAUUCAUUCUUUUAGAUUGGAAGCGGUUAGUGGCGGACUGGUGAGUAACGCGUGAGCAACCUGCCUAUUAGAGGGGAAUAACAGUGAGAAAUCAUUGCUAAUACCGCAUAUGCUUACACUAUUGCAUGAUAGAGUAAGGAAAGGAGCAAUCCGCUAAUAGAUGGGCUCGCGUCUGAUUAGCUAGUUGGUGGGGUAGAAGCCUACCAAGGCGACGAUCAGUAGCCGGACUGAGAGGUUGAACGGCCACAUUGGGACUGAGAUACGGCCCAGACUCCUACGGGAGGCAGCAGUCGGGAAUAUUGCGCAAUGGAGGAAACUCUGACGCAGUGACGCCGCGUAUAGGAAGAAGGUUUUCGGAUUGUAAACUAUUGUCGUUAGGGAAGAAAAAAGACAGUACCUAAGGAGGAAGCCCCGGCUAACUAUGUGCCAGCAGCCGCGGUAAUACAUAGGGGGCAAGCGUUAUCCGGAAUUAUUGGGUGUAAAGGGUGCGUAGACGGGUGUUUAAGUUGGUUGUGAAAUCCCUCGGCUCAACUGAGGAACUGCAACCAAAACUGGAUAUCUUGAGUGUC
This 634-nucleotide ribosomal RNA is filed under the name uncultured bacterium. RNAcentral's name for it is "bacterial SSU rRNA". It matches the Rfam family "Bacterial small subunit ribosomal RNA", at positions 9 to 650 of the family's 1533-position model. The record is from RNAcentral.